AUUGAACGCUGGCGGCAGGCCUAACACAUGCAAGUCGGACGGUAGCACAGAGAGCUUGCUCUUGGGUGACGAGUGGCGGACGGGUGAGUAAUGUCUGGGGAUCUGCCCGAUAGAGGGGGAUAACCACUGGAAACGGUGGCUAAUACCGCAUAACGUCGCAAGACCAAAGAGGGGGACCUUCGGGCCUCUCACUAUCGGAUGAACCCAGAUGGGAUUAGCUAGUAGGCGGGGUAAUGGCCCACCUAGGCGACGAUCCCUAGCUGGUCUGAGAGGAUGACCAGCCACACUGGAACUGAGACACGGUCCAGACUCCUACGGGAGGCAGCAGUGGGGAAUAUUGCACAAUGGGCGCAAGCCUGAUGCAGCCAUGCCGCGUGUAUGAAGAAGGCCUUCGGGUUGUAAAGUACUUUCAGCGGGGAGGAAGGCGAUGCGGUUAAUAACCGCGUCGAUUGACGUUACCCGCAAAAGAAGCACCGGCUAACUCCGU
RNAcentral lists this ribosomal RNA (487 nucleotides) under uncultured bacterium. RNAcentral's name for it is "bacterial SSU rRNA". It matches the Rfam family "Bacterial small subunit ribosomal RNA", at positions 30 to 506 of the family's 1533-position model. The record is from RNAcentral.